CCUACGGGUGGCAGCAGUGGGGGAUAUUGCACAAUGGGGGAAACCCUGAUGCAGCGACGCCGCGUGUGGGAAGACGGUCCUCUGGAUUGUAAACCACUGUCCCCAGGGACGAAGAUGACGGUACCUGGGGAGGAAGCUCCGGCUAACUACGUGCCAGCAGCCGCGGUAAUACGUAGGGAGCGAGCGUUGUCCGGAAUUACUGGGUGUAAAGGGAGCGUAGGCGGGGAUGCAAGUUGGGUGUCAAAACUACCGGCUCAACUGGUAGUCGCACUCAAAACUGCAGCUAUUGAGUGACGUAGAGGCAGGCGACAUUCCUAUUGUAGCGGUGCACUGCUUAGAUAUUAGGCGGUCCCCCAGUGGCGCAGGCUGCCUGCUGGGCUUUUACUGACGCUGAGGCUCGAAAGUGUGGGGAGCAAACAGGAUUAGAUACCCGGGUAGUC
This 440-nucleotide ribosomal RNA is filed under the name uncultured bacterium. RNAcentral's name for it is "partial 16S ribosomal RNA". It matches the Rfam family "Bacterial small subunit ribosomal RNA", at positions 338 to 795 of the family's 1533-position model. The record is from RNAcentral.